Equus quagga is the source of this 345-nucleotide long non-coding RNA. RefSeq lists it as uncharacterized. NCBI's taxonomy places the organism in Eukaryota, Metazoa, Chordata, Mammalia, Perissodactyla, Equidae. The transcript has 3 exons. The record is from RefSeq and is a predicted model, not a curated record.
GCCUGCGCCUACCUGGUGCCCGCGCUCCGGCCGCGCCGCCCGCUGCUCCCCGCGGAGAGCCGCUCCGUCCUGGGUCGAGCGCAGCGACGCACUGGACGGCCGCAGCACCUGGCCCUGGGGAAAUUACUAGCCGGGAAGUAGGUAAAGAUUGUUCCUGAGAAUUGGCUUUUCUAGCAAGUUCCCAUGUGAUGCUGAUGAUGCUAUUCUGUGAACCUGACUCAGAACCACUUGAGUAUUCCUUGAGUAACAAGAAAUUUGACAGAGAGUUUCUCUCUGGAACUCUGGAAGAGUUGAGACUGUUCAAGGAAAUUUGAGUACUGAUGCUGGUCACCUCCGCUAUCCCAG